UUCAUAGAGUGUAAAGGCAUAAGGGAGCUUGACUGCGAGACCUACAAGUCGAGCAGGGUCGAAAGACGGACUUAGUGAUCCGGUGGUUCCGCAUGGAAGGGCCAUCGCUCAACGGAUAAAAGCUACCCCGGGGAUAACAGGCUUAUCUCCCCCAAGAGUUCACAUCGACGGGGAGGUUUGGCACCUCGAUGUCGGCUCAUCGCAUCCUGGGGCUGUAGUCGGUCCCAAGGGUUGGGCUGUUCGCCCAUUAAAGCGGUACGCGAGCUGGGUUCAGAACGUCGUGAGACAGUUCGGUCCCUAUCCGUCGUGGGCGUAGGAAAUUUGAGAGGAGCUGUCCUUAGUACGAGAGGACCGGGAUGGACAUACCUCUGGUGUACCAGUUGUCGUGCCAACGGCAUAGCUGGGUAGCUAUGUGUGGACGGGAUAAGUGC
This 431-nucleotide ribosomal RNA is filed under the name Staphylococcus aureus. RNAcentral describes it as "partial 23S ribosomal RNA". It matches the Rfam family "Bacterial large subunit ribosomal RNA", at positions 2341 to 2771 of the family's 2925-position model. Lineage: Bacteria; Bacillati; Bacillota; Bacilli; Caryophanales; Staphylococcaceae. The record is from RNAcentral.